UAUAGCUAUGGCAAUACAUAUUCUAAAAUUGGAAUGAUACAGAGAAGAUUAGCAUGGCUCCUGCGCAAGAAUGACACACGAAUUUGUGAAGCAUUCCAUAUUUCU
Molecule: non-coding RNA, 105 nt
Organism: Octopus bimaculoides (California two-spot octopus)
Lineage: Eukaryota; Metazoa; Mollusca; Cephalopoda; Octopoda; Octopodidae
Source: Rfam